This 81-nucleotide transfer RNA is filed under the name Datura stramonium (jimsonweed). Its description in RNAcentral is "tRNA-Leu". It matches the Rfam family "tRNA". From Rfam's summary of the family: Transfer RNA (tRNA) molecules are approximately 80 nucleotides in length. Lineage: Eukaryota; Viridiplantae; Streptophyta; Magnoliopsida; Solanales; Solanaceae. The record is from RNAcentral.
GCCUUGGUGGUAAAAUGGUAGACAUACGAGACUUAAAAUCUCAUGCUAAAAAGUGUGAAGAUUCGAGUCCUCUUUAAGGCA